CUACGGACAAAGAGCAGCAAGUUCGCGAGGACAAGCAAAUCUCAUAAACCGUGGCUCAGUUCAGAUCGUAGGCUGCAACUCGCCUACGUGAAGGAGGAAUCGCUAGUAAUCGCAGGUCAGCAUACUGCGGUGAAUACGUUCCCGGGCCUUGUACACACCGCCCGUCACACCAUGGAAGUUGGCCACGCCCGAAGCCGUUACUCCAACCCUUGUGGAGGAGGACGUCGAAGGUGGGGCUGAUGACUGGGGUGAAGUCGUAACAAGGUAGCCGUACCGGAAGGUGCGGCUGGAUCACCUCCUAA
This 302-nucleotide ribosomal RNA is filed under the name Synechococcus sp. MIT S9220. Its description in RNAcentral is "partial 16S ribosomal RNA". It matches the Rfam family "Bacterial small subunit ribosomal RNA", at positions 1233 to 1533 of the family's 1533-position model. The record is from RNAcentral. Lineage: Bacteria; Bacillati; Cyanobacteriota; Cyanophyceae; Synechococcales; Synechococcaceae.